CCCUUAGAUGUUCUGGGCCGCACGCGCGCUACACUGAUGCGUUCAACGAGUAUAAAACCUUGAUCGAUAGGUCUGGGUAAUCUUGUGAAUGCGCAUCGUGCUAGGGAUAGACUGUUGCAAUUUUCAGUCUUGAACGAGGAAUUCCUAGUAAACGCAAGUCAUCAGCUUGCAUUGAUUACGUCCCUGCCCUUUGUACACACCGCCCGUCACACCUACCGAUUGAAUGACUCGGUGAAAAAUUGGGACCGUGAGUCUGUUUGCUUAAUUGCGAGUGGAUUGAUGGGAACUUUUUUAAACCUCGCCAUUUAGAGGAAGGUGAAGUCGUAACAAGGUUUCCGUAGGUGAACCUGCGGAAGGAUCAUUA
This 364-nucleotide ribosomal RNA is filed under the name Pseudoperonospora cubensis. Its description in RNAcentral is "SSU rRNA". It matches the Rfam family "Eukaryotic small subunit ribosomal RNA", at positions 1470 to 1831 of the family's 1831-position model. Lineage: Eukaryota; Oomycota; Peronosporomycetes; Peronosporales; Peronosporaceae. The record is from RNAcentral.